RNAcentral lists this ribosomal RNA (254 nucleotides) under uncultured bacterium. RNAcentral's name for it is "partial 16S ribosomal RNA". It matches the Rfam family "Bacterial small subunit ribosomal RNA", at positions 524 to 776 of the family's 1533-position model. The record is from RNAcentral.
GACGUAGGGCGCAAGCGUUGUCCGGAUUUAUUGGGCGUAAAGAGCUCGUAGGCGGCUUGUCGCGUCGACUGUGAAAACCCGCGGCUCAACUGCGGGCCUGCAGCCGAUACGGGCAGGCUAGAGUUCGGUAGGGGAGACGUGGAAUUCCGUGGUGUAGCGGUGAAAUGCGCAGAUAUCAGGAGGAACACCGGUGGCGAAGGCGGAUCUCUGGGCUGUUCUGACGCUGAGGCGCGAAAGCUAGGGGAGCGAACAGG